GCCGGGAUGGUGGAAUUGGCAGACACGUACGUUUGAGGGGCGUAUGCUUAACAGCGUGGGGGUUCGAGUCCCCCUCCCGGCA
This 82-nucleotide transfer RNA is filed under the name Pseudomonadota bacterium. RNAcentral's name for it is "tRNA-Leu". It matches the Rfam family "tRNA". From Rfam's summary of the family: Transfer RNA (tRNA) molecules are approximately 80 nucleotides in length. Their secondary structure includes four short double-helical elements and three loops (D, anti-codon, and T loops). Lineage: Bacteria; Pseudomonadati; Pseudomonadota. The record is from RNAcentral. RNAcentral also lists the same sequence under 1 other name.